AGAGCGAACGCUGGCGGCAGGCCUAACACAUGCAAGUCGAGCGCGUGUAGCAAUACACGAGCGGCAGACGGGAGAGUAACACGUGGGAACGCGCCCUUCGGUUCGGAAUAACUCAGGGAAACUUGAGCUAAUACCGGAUACGCCCUUACGGGGGAAAGAUUUAUUGCCGAAGGAACGGCCCGCGUCCGAUUAGCUAGUUGGUGAGGUAACGGCUCACCAAGGCGACGAUCGGUAGCUGGUCUGAGAGGAUGACCAGCCUCACUGGGACUGAGACACGGCCCAGACUCCUACGGGAGGCAGCAGUGGGGAAUAUUGGGCAAUGGGCGCAAGCCUGAUCCAGCCAUGCCGCGUGGAUGAUGAAGGCCUUAGGGUUGUAAAGUCCUUUUAACGGGGAAGAUAAUGACGGUACCCGUAGAAUAAGCCCCGGCUAACUUCGCGCCAGCAGCCGC
This 449-nucleotide ribosomal RNA is filed under the name uncultured bacterium. RNAcentral's name for it is "SSU rRNA". It matches the Rfam family "Bacterial small subunit ribosomal RNA", at positions 26 to 518 of the family's 1533-position model. The record is from RNAcentral.